AAGUAGGUCUUAGUGAUCCGGUGGUUCUGUAUGGAAGGGCCAUCGCUCAACGGAUAAAAGGUACUCCGGGGAUAACAGGCUGAUACCGCCCAAGAGUUCAUAUCGACGGCGGUGUUUGGCACCUCGAUGUCGGCUCAUCACAUCCUGGGGCUGAAGCCGGUCCCAAGGGUAUGGCUGUUCGCCAUUUAAAGUGGUACGCGAGCUGGGUUUAGAACGUCGUGAGACAGUUCGGUCCCUAUCUGCCGUGGACGUUUGAGAUUUGAGAGGGGCUGCUCCUAGUACGAGAGGACCGGAGUGGACGAACCUCUGGUGUUCCGGUUGUCACGCCAGUGGCAUUGCCGGGUAGCUA
RNAcentral lists this ribosomal RNA (349 nucleotides) under Pseudomonas sp. ATCC 13867. RNAcentral describes it as "bacterial LSU rRNA". It matches the Rfam family "Bacterial large subunit ribosomal RNA", at positions 2403 to 2751 of the family's 2925-position model. Lineage: Bacteria; Pseudomonadati; Pseudomonadota; Gammaproteobacteria; Pseudomonadales; Pseudomonadaceae. The record is from RNAcentral.